GGGCUUCCCACAGAGCACAGGACUGGCACUGAGAGCAUGAGCUCUCCACAGCUGGGAAGGACGAGGAAGAGGAGGAGGAGGAGAGAUGCACAAAGCACCCGGGGCUCAGCCAGAGCCUCGUGUGCAAUACGGCCAGGAGAAAUGUGGUGGCUGGAAAGAUGGACGAGUGCACAGUUUCAUUCUGCUUCAUGCAGAGCUACCAUCACCUCGCUCAGUAUUUUACGGAAGGCUCGCCGGGCUGAGCCUGUAGGCUUCGAAAUCAUCGACAAUGUGCUAAUGUAAAGUUGCCUGAGCUUAUGGAAGAUUUUGAAGGCCUGGAUUCCAUGUGUUGAGACUGGCACCAUAUCAGAGGAACAGCUGAGUAUAUGGAGCAGGGAAGCUACGUGACUCCACAGCAUCCUGGCACCAUGACCAGCACAAAGCUGCUGAUGGGGACAAGCUGAAGCCUUUGUCUUUCCUGGGUGAAUGAACAAGCUGAAGACUUUAGGUACAGCGUCCUUCCUUCUGGAGCAGGUCACCCCUGCCACCAAGCCAGGCUGCUCCUUCCCCAGAGCAGUUUGGGGAAUGAAUUUUCACACUGGCCCAGCUCAAUUGGGCUAAAAGAGCUGCCUCACUCAUCUGAGCUCUUUGGGAAGGCUCUUGGGCUGGGGCUUUUGCUGUCCUUAGAAGGGGCCACCAGGAUGUGUGAGUGGAAGUGAGAAAUGAGAUUUCCCGGGAAUAAUCCUCCUACAUGAAACUCAGUGGCAUCUGUGAAAAGGCUCGUGGGCACCCAGAGGAUCCACGUGAGGGAGCGCAGGGAGGUGUCUGGACUGAGACCAUGUCCUGGUAAUUCGCUCAAAACUUGUCAGGGUCAGGUUCAGUGGGGUGUCCAGGCUGAUCAGAGAGAGGGAGGCACCGAGGGCCUGGAUCACACAGCUGAGCUCAGCACAGUGCAGGGCAGAAUGUGCCACAAACAGAGGCAGAGCCCACCCUGAGCACUGAGAGCUCCCAAAUUGGGUGAUUUUGUGACAACCCAAUGAGGACCCCUGCUUAAGAGCCUAGCAAUGACCGGAAAGGUGACUAAAAAUAAGAGGCUUCCAGGGGGAGACUGCAGAGAAGGAUGUCAGGAGCCUCACAGAGGCGUUAGGCAGGCGGGGAGUGUCACUGUGACCUCGCCGGGAGCGCUGUGGGCAGGGCUGCACAUCCCACCUCGCAAAU
Long non-coding RNA from Passer domesticus (house sparrow), 1197 nucleotides. RefSeq lists it as uncharacterized. The record is from RefSeq and is a predicted model, not a curated record. NCBI's taxonomy places the organism in Eukaryota, Metazoa, Chordata, Aves, Passeriformes, Passeridae. The transcript is spliced from 3 exons.